UUUUCAUAGCAAUCAGAAUCAGGAUCAGGGCCCCUAAAACUCAGGGGGGGCAAAACCCUAAUAACGAUUAUCUUCAUAACUCAUUAUAAAAUUCGAAAUUUACAAAACCGUCGACACAGCAAGCCUACAUGCACAAAGGGCUACUCUAUGAAAAUAGGGUGGUCACUCGCGUAGCGCGACGCCUAAGGGGGUACCCCCUCGCGCUACGCGACGGUGUCAAAAUUUCAGUAUAAAUAGCAGGGGUUGGGACUUGAAUUUUGGCACUUGAACGACGAAAAUCGGAGUUACGUAGGUCGAGUUAUAAGCAAAACAGUCCAACCCACACACACAAUUAUCGAAUCGCUGCCGCAAAACAGGGUAAUUAGUCGAUCGCUAUUACGAUUCAGUUUCCGGGAUCAAUAUACCCAAAGAAUGUCUAAGUGCCGCCCACAUUGGGCUAUGCUUUAUCGUUGUCAAUAAUUCGAUAAUGAGCCGAAGCAUUGUACUUUGUCGUUGUCGAUAAUUCGAUAUACGAGUUGAAGUACUAUACUUUGUCGUUUGUCAUUUUGAUAAAUGAGCUGAAGUAUUGCACUUGGACAUUCAUUGUAAAAAUUGAUCUCGGGGAAUUAUCGUAACUGUUGUAUUGAUCAUUAACCUGGUUCUUGUAAAAUUCGUUAAGAGUUGAUUUAGGUUUUUCACCAAUACGUAUUCCAUUUCUGUUAAACUACCAAGAAUACUCCCAACUACACCCUUACAAUCAAACAAACUAUAAAAUCAUCAGAAGAUCCAGAAUAAUAAAGUGCAUGCUUAAUUAUCGGAAGAAGUAGAAUCAGGAAGUUUGUUAACUCAAUCCUGCAUGCUGAUUGUUAUUACAAUAGAUUGGAGUAAGGAUUGGAUCCGACACUGAAGGACUUCAAGAAGUGGCUUAUUUUAUUAAUUAAAUCAAUUAAGAAAUAUUGUUUUUAUUAAAAGCUACCUUUGUAAAACAUGGAAUUUAUUCCAUUUUUUUUAAAUAAAAUCCGGUGUUUCUAAACUCUGAUAUUUUUCCUAACUCACGGUCCUGAUGAAAUUUCCGCU
RNAcentral lists this long non-coding RNA (1056 nucleotides) under Helianthus annuus (common sunflower). RNAcentral's name for it is "hypothetical non coding rna". Lineage: Eukaryota; Viridiplantae; Streptophyta; Magnoliopsida; Asterales; Asteraceae. The record is from RNAcentral.